This 425-nucleotide ribosomal RNA is filed under the name uncultured bacterium. RNAcentral describes it as "partial 16S ribosomal RNA". It matches the Rfam family "Bacterial small subunit ribosomal RNA", at positions 354 to 796 of the family's 1533-position model. The record is from RNAcentral.
GUGGGGAAUAUUGGACAAUGGGCGAAAGCCUGAUCCAGCAAUGCCGCGUGAGUGAUGAAGGCCUUAGGGUUGUAAAGCUCUUUUACCAGGGAUGAUAAUGACAGUACCUGGAGAAUAAGCUCCGGCUAACUCCGUGCCAGCAGCCGCGGUAAUACGGAGGGAGCUAGCGUUGUUCGGAAUUACUGGGCGUAAAGCGCACGUAGGCGGUUACUCAAGUAAGAGGUGAAAGCCCGGGGCUCAACCCCGGAACUGCCUUUGAAACUAGGUAACUAGAAUCUUGGAGAGGUCAGUGGAAUUCCGAGUGUAGAGGUGAAAUUCGUAGAUAUUCGGAAGAACACCAGUGGCGAAGGCGACUGACUGGACAAGUAUUGACGCUGAGGUGCGAAAGCGUGGGGAGCAAACAGGAUUAGAUACCCUAGUAGUCC